RNAcentral lists this ribosomal RNA (253 nucleotides) under uncultured bacterium. RNAcentral describes it as "partial 16S ribosomal RNA". It matches the Rfam family "Bacterial small subunit ribosomal RNA", at positions 524 to 776 of the family's 1533-position model. The record is from RNAcentral.
UACGAAGGGGGCUAGCGUUGCUCGGAAUCACUGGGCGUAAAGGGUGCGUAGGCGGGGCUUUAAGUCAGGGGGGAAAUCCUGGAGCUCAACUCCAGAACUGCCUUUGAUACUGAAGAUCUUGAGUUCGGGAGAGGUGAGUGGAACUGCGAGUGUGGAGGUGAAAUUCGUAGAUAUUCGCAAGAACACCAGUGGCGAAGGCGGCUCACUGGCCCGGUACUGACGCUGAGGUGCGAAAGCGUGGGGAGCAAACAGG